RNAcentral lists this ribosomal RNA (468 nucleotides) under uncultured bacterium. RNAcentral describes it as "partial 16S ribosomal RNA". It matches the Rfam family "Bacterial small subunit ribosomal RNA", at positions 28 to 507 of the family's 1533-position model. The record is from RNAcentral.
GACGAACGCUGGCGGCGUGCUUAACACAUGCGAGUCGAACGGAAAGGCCCUGCGUUUGUGGGGUGCCCGAGUGGCGAACGGGUGAGUAACACGUGAGUAACCUGCUCUUGACUUUGGGGUAACUUCAGGAAACUGGGGCUAAUAUCGGAUAGGAGCUCCUGCUGCAGGGUGGGGGUGGGAAAGUUUCGGCGGUUGGGGAUGGACUCGCGGCUUAUGAGCUUGUUGGUGGGGUAGUGGCAUACCAAGGCUUUGACGGGUCGCCGGCCUGGGAGGGUGACCGGGCACAUUGGGACUGAGAUACGGACCAGACUGGUACGUGAGGCAGCAGUGGGGAAUAUUGCCCAGUGGGAGGACGCCUGAUGCGGCGGCGCCGGGUGCGGGAUGACGGCCUUCGGGUUGUAAACAGCUUUCGCCUGUGACGAAGCGUGAGUGACGGUAGUGGAUAAAGAAGCACCGGCUAACUACGUG